CCACCAACCCCGCGUCCCUGGCCCCUCACCGCUCGCAGAGCCGCGCCGCAUCGUGCCACAACCCAACUGACCUUCUCUCCCUGCUCUAUAGCCCCCCGCCGAGUCACCAGCAAGCCAAGCGCUAGCCACCGCCGUCGCCUGCUGCGGUUGGUGUCGUGCAUGCCAGCUGGCGCGCCCCCAAGCACUCCAGCAAGUCGUGCUCAUCCGCAGCUAGGUCGGUAACCCUGACAUGCCCCGCCGUCUAGCCCCGCCUCCCCUGUUCGCCAACAGUGGUCACCGCCGCCGUGCUUAUCCUCAGGAUUCCGAUGAACCGACUCGACCGUGGCUAUAUAAAUGCACAUACCCCUCUAGCAUCAUCAUUUCCUCUCCCUGCAACCCCCUGAGCAUUCUCAAAGCAGCAAGUCGACCGGGGGAUCCGAAUUUCUCCUCCUCCGACAAGCGUGGCCGCCGAGGACACCGGUCGAUUCCCAUGCUUCCACAGCCCCCCUCUCCCCGUUCCUGCUACAUAAGCUUCGGUAUGACCAUGCUAAACCACUCACCUCCUCAAAUUUUCCGUGAGAGAGCCCGUAGGAGGAACCCCAUUUUCAUCCGAUGCCGCCGCCCACCGGGAAGCUCGCCAUCGGCAGCUGUGUCCGUCCCAAAGGUCGUGGAGCCCCGCCACCAGGCCGCCUCGAGACCCUGAGCACGACGGUGCGGUCGACAUCCGGUGUCGUGUCCCCAAUCACCGGUGAGGCUCGUCGGGAGCUCCUCCUCCGCUCGGCCACAGGAGGGAGAAGGACGAUUUGACCAGGGGUCAAAUCUUUACCGGCUAUCUUACCUCGGGAAACCCAUCGAGGAAAAUUGGAGGGGAGAAUCCUUUCAAAGAUUUUGGAGUGCACACCACCCUUCUUCAUACCCAAGGCAAACAUCUUGAACACUGAUUUGUGAUAAGUUGAGUGAUUUCUUGCUGCCAUGAGUAAAUGCAUGAUUAUGUUAGUUAGACAAAAAUUUCCAUGUAAAAAAAUAUGUAUGCAUGAAUGCAUGUGAUGGGUAUUUAUUUGUUGUUGACCACAAAAUACAUAUGAUAGUGGGUACUGCCUCCUACCACAUAUGCCUAUGCUGGUCCGGACAACCUCAUAGUAAGGUUUGUUGUGGGUAAAAGUGUGACCGUGAAACUGAUAUCUCUUUGUGACGAGAGUGAUCGGUGAGGGCAUAUCGGGGUAUGAUGGUGGUAACAGGGUCGGAUAUCAUUUGGAAAUUUUGUGAUGCUAACCAUUGCAGGAAAACUUAAAACUCCUGAGUCGAUCGUAGAUCGAGUCUUGUGCCAGUAACCCUCAUACUAGAUUUGUGCUACCACUUGUCCCUGACACGGGUAGGGUAUAGUUCAGUAAGUCGUCAACCCCUUUUCUUGCACACACACCAUACAGAGAGGCCAUAGUGAAAGAUACCACUUAUCACUGGUAGGCUUGUCACUUGGUCCGGGGGCAUGGAUGAUUGGAUUGGACCGAGGGGGUAGCGCCCCUCUUUGCACGCGGUAAAAUUUUGUUGAUCCCUUGCUAAUCGAGAGUGUGGUCUCCCCACUUAGAGUUUUUCUUAAUGAUUGCCUUGGGUGAUUCGUGGCAUUGGGAAGUUAAGCUGGUGUGUGCGGGUCAGGUGUGGUUUCAACCUAAAGACCGUAAGCGGAAUUAGCCAACAUUUCAGGUUGACUAAGGAAAUUUGUUACUUGUAGGUACAGAGUACACCCUCUAUAAAAUUAAAUAUCUAUUCGAGUAGUCGAGUCCGCUGGUAAGGACUAAAGGCUAGGUUAUGUAAAGUGUCGUUCUAAGUGUCAGUCUUUGGAGGAAUUAAUUGAAGCAUCAUGAUGAUCAUGAACCAUGGUGGAUGAUCAUAAUUAUUAGGAAUAUUGUUGUGGACUAACCAUUUCUUGCAUAAGAAUGUUUGAGUGUCCCUUCGGAAGGUUCUACCUUCUAGAUACUCAUUGUUACUAUUUUCAUAUAAGCCCUUUAUGUGGCGUCGCUCACACACCCGAGUGUGGCAAUUGUUAUUUUCAUAUAAACCCUUUAUGUGACGUCGCUCCAAACGCUCGUUUGUGCCAACUGUUAUUAUUUUCAUAUAAGCCCUUUAUGUAGCAUCGCUCACACGCCCGAAUGUGGCAAUUGUUAUUAUUUCUAUAUAAGCCCUUUAUGUGGCUUCACUCAAAUGCCCGGCCGAGGCACAUUUUAUAUUGUUAUCCUUUCGAGGCGUCCCUUCACACAACCGAUCGGAGUGUCCUUAUUUCCUCGCAAUUUUUGAGAGGUUUACCGCCCGAUGUUCCAUUUUACUUUUAUUAUCGUUCAUUGAUUGCUUAUUUACCUUCAGUAGGGAUAAAUUAUAUUAUUACUUGCUUUUAAGAAUUUAUCUUAAGACUGAUUUAAUAUUUGUAAUUAAUUUUGCUACAUAUAAAUCGCUGAUGUGUUAUGCAUGCAUGUUAUUACUUACUCAUUGUUAUUAUAUUCUUAUAAGGCCUUUUAUGGUUUUGUCGAUUCUUAUUUCAUUAUAAGCCCAUUAUGUGGUGUCUCCCAAGACGCCGACUGUUGCAUUAUAUUUAUUGUGAUGAUAUAAGUCCCUUUAUGUGACGUUGCUUAGACACCCGAUUCCGACUCAUAUUGCGUGUCCUUUCGAGUUGUUGCUUCAAGCGCCCGAUCGACACAUUCAAGUUAUUGUUACGCUCUUCCUUGAUUUCUUAUACAUAAUUGGCAGGAAUGAUUUAUCUCCAUAAUUGCAUCCAUAAAUUAAAUCUUAUGGCACAUUAGGGUUAUUAAGAUUUUAGUGCAUGCAUCUCACCUGCUUUUACUUAUCUACUUUCAUGAUGUUUGCGAGUACAUUCAAAGUACUUACUGGAUUGUCCCUGACUAUUGUCUUGGCCACAUUGCAUAUUUGGAGAGGAGCACGAUGAUGACACCCGGAACCUAAGCAUCGAGGAUAGCAGCCUUGCGAGAUAGGAGUUAUCCAGGUUACCUAUUCCUGUGGUAAUGGAGACCCUUGGACGUUGGAGACCCAUGAGUAGCUUCCGCCAUCAGCCACUAGGUGAAUUGUUAUACCCCAUGGUCCUUCAUGGUCUUGUACCCCAAAUUUUGUAAAUUACUUGGAAUUUCUGUAUCAUGUGAGUGUCCACCAGCUAAUAGUAAUCCUAGGGCUCGUGAACGCAAGGACAUGUUACUAGGGGUUUUAUAUCCCAUAAAACGGGUCACGACACUUGGUCAAUGAAAGUUUAUUCACAUGGAUUUCAUAAUUA
This is a long non-coding RNA of Hordeum vulgare subsp. vulgare (domesticated barley), 3253 nucleotides long. RefSeq lists it as uncharacterized. Lineage: Eukaryota; Viridiplantae; Streptophyta; Magnoliopsida; Poales; Poaceae. The record is from RefSeq and is a predicted model, not a curated record. The transcript has 2 exons.